Molecule: ribosomal RNA, 805 nt
Filed under: uncultured bacterium
Lineage: Bacteria
Description: bacterial SSU rRNA
Rfam family: Bacterial small subunit ribosomal RNA
Source: RNAcentral
AGAGUUUGAUCCUGGCUCAGAGUGAACGCUGGCGGCGUGCCUAACACAUGCAAGUCGAGCGAGAUUGCGGAGCCCGCAAGGGUUCUGUAGUCGAGCGGCAAACGGGUGAAUAACACGUGAGAAACCCGCCCCAAAGUGGGGAAUACCCUCGAGAAAUCGAGGCUAAUACCCCAUAAGACCACGCUUCGGCAUCGGAGAGAGGUCAAAGGUCCGCAAGGACCGCUUUGGGAUGGUCUCGCGUCCUAUCAGCUAGUUGGUGAGGUAACGGCUCACCAAGGCUAUGACGGGUAGCCGGCCUGAAAGGGCGAUCGGCCACACUGGAACUGAGACACGGUCCAGACUCCUACGGGAGGCAGCAGUGGGGAAUCUUAGACAAUGGGCGCAAGCCUGAUCUAGCCAUGCCGCGUGAGCGAUGAAGGCCUUCGGGUUGUAAAGCUCUUUUGUCCGGAACGAAACGGUUUGCGUGAAUAGCGCCGACUACUGACGGUACCGGAAGAAUAAGCACCGGCUAACUACGUGCCAGCAGCCGCGGUAAUUCGUAGGGUGCGAGCGUUAAUCGGAAUUACUGGGCGUAAAGCGUGCGCAGGCGGUUUUGUAAGCCAGAUGUGAAAUCCCCGGGCUUAACCUGGGAAUGGCAUUUGGGACUGCAAGGCUCGAGUGCGGCAGAGGAGACUGGAAUUCCUGGUGUAGCAGUGAAAUGCGUAGAUAUCAGGAGGAACACCGAUGGCGAAGGCAAUCCCCUGGGCCUGUACUGACGCUCAUGCACGAAAGCGUGGGGAGUAAACAGGAUUAGAUACCCUGGUAG